AUGUUCACGGCUUUCCAGGUUGACGAACAUACGUUCAAGGUGUGUUCUAUUUUGGGCAUGUCGGAUUCAGAACCUGAAGAUCCGGACAAAGGAAUGAACUACUUCGUGAAAGCCUCAAUAGACCAAGGCGAAUACUACUGCCAAUGCUGCAAGUUUGAACGGGACGGCAUUGUGUGCUGUCACAUACUAAAAGUAAUGGACAUGAACGCUGUGACACGGAUGCCCUGCCAUUUCAUAAGGCGGCGAUGGACUUGGGACGCUGACGACGCGUUGGCGCCGCAAACAACAAACGCAGUUCUGGCUGUGCAUGACGAGAGACCGGAGUCAACCAUGGAAGCCGUGAGGCAUGUUGUGUUGACAAAGAAUUAUGCUGAGCUAAUUGAUGAAGCAUGCAAGAGUGAUGAGACAUCGAGAGUCGCAGAAAAACACAGGAAGGCCCUGGAAAGAGAGCUUGAUGAGAUCAAGAAGAGGAAAGCUGAGGAAGCCUUACAUAGGUUCCCUCGCACAUCAAGUAUGCCUUCGUCCACGGGACCAUCAUCUGAAAACUCAAAGAUAGGAUCUGGAACAGCAAGCACACAAACCCAGGUCAGGAACCCACCCCGUUCCAUCACAAAAGGUCGUCCAAGAGAGAUAAGGUACAAAUCGGGAUUGGAGAUUCAAGCAAAACACAAGAAAACAAAGAAAGGAACGGGCAAUCCAUAA
Molecule: ribosomal RNA, 702 nt
Filed under: Triticum aestivum (bread wheat)
Lineage: Eukaryota; Viridiplantae; Streptophyta; Magnoliopsida; Poales; Poaceae
Description: partial small subunit ribosomal RNA
Source: RNAcentral